UACGGAGGGGGCUAGCGUUGUUCGGAAUUACUGGGCGUAAAGCGCACGUAGGCGGCUUUGCAAGUUAGAGGUGAAAGCCCGGGGCUCAACUCCGGAAUUGCCUUUAAAACUGCAUCGCUAGAAUUGUGGAGAGGUAAGUGGAAUUCCGAGUGUAGAGGUGAAAUUCGUAGAUAUUCGGAAGAACACCAGUGGCGAAGGCGACUUACUGGACACAUAUUGACGCUGAGGUGCGAAAGCGUGGGGAGCAAACAGGG
This 254-nucleotide ribosomal RNA is filed under the name uncultured bacterium. RNAcentral describes it as "partial 16S ribosomal RNA". It matches the Rfam family "Bacterial small subunit ribosomal RNA", at positions 524 to 777 of the family's 1533-position model. The record is from RNAcentral.